AUGACAGCAGUUCCUUGCAAUCAUGCUGUUUCUGCCAUACACAAGGCUAAGCUUCAGCCAGAGGACUUUGUUCAUGAUUUCUUCAAAAAAAAGAUGUAUCUGGAAGCUUACAGUCCCAUUAUAUAUCCUGUACCUGGACCUGAUAUGUGGCCAAGGACAGACAGUAUGGACAUUGAGGCUCCAGUUUUCAAAGAACACAAGGGAAGGGCACAGACUAAGAGGAGAAAGGGCCAAUAUGAGAAGCCAGCUCCCAAAGACACCUCAAGAAUGGCCUCAAUUACCUGCUCUAAUUGCAAAAAGGUUGGCCAUAGAUACACCAACUGUAAUGUUGCUUUGAAUCCAUCACUGGCAAUGAGAAAGAACAGGCAUGAGCUAACCAAUGUCCUAAUAUUGACUAUUUGA
Molecule: ribosomal RNA, 402 nt
Filed under: Triticum aestivum (bread wheat)
Lineage: Eukaryota; Viridiplantae; Streptophyta; Magnoliopsida; Poales; Poaceae
Description: partial small subunit ribosomal RNA
Source: RNAcentral